This 359-nucleotide ribosomal RNA is filed under the name uncultured fungus. Its description in RNAcentral is "LSU rRNA". It matches the Rfam family "Eukaryotic large subunit ribosomal RNA", at positions 65 to 424 of the family's 3401-position model. Lineage: Eukaryota; Fungi. The record is from RNAcentral.
CCAACAGGGAUUACCUCAGUAACGGCGAGUGAAGCGGUAACAGCUCAAAUUUGAAAUCUGGCCUCACGGUCCGAGUUGUAAUUUGUAGAGGAUGCUUCGAGCAUGGUCUGGCCUAAGUUCCUUGGAGCAGGACGUCAUAGAGGGUGAGAAUCCCGUAUGCGGUCAGGUGCCUACGCUCAUGUGAAGCUCCUUCGACGAGUCGAGUUGUUUGGGAAUGCAGCUCAAAAUGGGUGGUAAAUUUCAUCUAAAGCUAAAUAUUGGCCAGAGACCGAUAGCGCACAAGUAGAGUGAUCGAAAGAUGAAAAGCACUUUGGAAAGAGAGUUAAACAGUACGUGAAAUUGUUGAAAGGGAAGCGCUU